UAUAAAAUAGCCUAGUGGACAUGGCAUCUGCCCGGUAAGCGGAACAUUGUGGGUUCGAUUCCCAUCCCUGGACACUUUUAUUU
Molecule: transfer RNA, 83 nt
Filed under: Cordylochernes scorpioides
Lineage: Eukaryota; Metazoa; Arthropoda; Arachnida; Pseudoscorpiones; Chernetidae
Description: tRNA-Thr
Rfam family: tRNA (bases 8-65)
About the family: Transfer RNA (tRNA) molecules are approximately 80 nucleotides in length. Their secondary structure includes four short double-helical elements and three loops (D, anti-codon, and T loops). Further hydrogen bonds mediate the characteristic L-shaped molecular structure. tRNAs have two regions of fundamental functional importance: the anti-codon, which is responsible for specific mRNA codon recognition, and the 3' end, to which the tRNAs corresponding amino acid is attached (by aminoacyl-tRNA synthetases). tRNAs cope with the degeneracy of the genetic code in two manners: having more than one tRNA (with a specific anti-codon) for a particular amino acid; and 'wobble' base-pairing, i.e. permitting non-standard base-pairing at the 3rd anti-codon position.
Source: RNAcentral